UGUGGGACUCCUCAGCAGUGU
This 21-nucleotide microRNA is filed under the name Schistosoma japonicum. RNAcentral's name for it is "miRNA-3111". Lineage: Eukaryota; Metazoa; Platyhelminthes; Trematoda; Strigeidida; Schistosomatidae. The record is from RNAcentral.